GUAAUCGGAUUCGCUCAAUCCACAUGUGUUGGGGUGGGUUGGAGUGGAAAUUCCACCCCAAUCUACUCCAACACAUGUGGAUUGAGGUGAAUCCGACA
MicroRNA precursor from Sorghum bicolor (sorghum), 98 nucleotides. It matches the Rfam family "MIR5565 microRNA precursor family". The record is from Rfam. Lineage: Eukaryota; Viridiplantae; Streptophyta; Magnoliopsida; Poales; Poaceae.